This 487-nucleotide ribosomal RNA is filed under the name uncultured bacterium. RNAcentral describes it as "partial 16S ribosomal RNA". It matches the Rfam family "Bacterial small subunit ribosomal RNA", at positions 29 to 523 of the family's 1533-position model. The record is from RNAcentral.
AUUGAACGCUGGCGGCAUGCCUAACACAUGCAAGUCGAACGAGGCAGCAAUGCCUAGUGGCGGACGGGUGAGGAAUGCGUAGGAAUCUGCCUUUGAGUGGGGGAUAGCCCAGGGAAACUUGGAGUAAUACCGCAUGAUCUUGAGAGAGCAAAGCGGGGGAUCGCAAGACCUCGCGCUCGGAGAGGAGCCUACGUCGGAUUAGCUAGUUGGUGAGGUAAUGGCUCACCAAGGCUGCGAUCCGUAACUGGUCUGAGAGGACGACCAGUCACACUGGAAUUGAGAGACGGUCAGAGCUCCUACGGAAGGCAGCAUGGGGAAAUAUGGGACAAGGGGCGCAGGCCUAAUCCAGAAAGGCCGGUUGUGUGAAGAAGGCCUUCGGGUUGUAAAGCCCUUUAGGCUGGAAAGAAAAAGCUUCUCCUAAUACGGGGAGCCUUGACGGUACCAGCAGAAUAAGCACCGGCUAACUCUGUGCCAGCAGCCGCGGUAA